UACGUAUGGGGCAAGCGUUGUCCGGAAUCAUUGGGCGUAAAGAGCGUGUAGGCGGCCCGGUAAGUCCGCUGUGAAAGUCCAGGGCUCAACCCUGGGAUGCCGGUGGAUACUGUCGGGCUCGAGUCCGGAAGAGGAGUGUGGAAUUCCUGGUGUAGCGGUGAAAUGCGCAGAUAUCAGGAGGAACACCAAUGGCGAAGGCAGCACUCUGGGACGUGACUGACGCUGAGACGCGAAAGCGUGGGGAGCAAACAGG
RNAcentral lists this ribosomal RNA (253 nucleotides) under uncultured bacterium. RNAcentral describes it as "partial 16S ribosomal RNA". It matches the Rfam family "Bacterial small subunit ribosomal RNA", at positions 524 to 776 of the family's 1533-position model. The record is from RNAcentral.